GCUAACGCGUUGCGAGCUUCGUCGUGAAUACAGAUGGUGCGAUCGUUAAUCGGAAUGACUGGGCGUAAAUCGUGCGUAGGUUGUUUGUUAAAUGGGAUGUUAAAGCCCCUGUAUCAACCUUGGAACUGCAUCCAAAACUGACGGACUAGAGUAUGGUAGAGGGUGGUGGAAUUUCCGUUGUAGCGGUGAAAUGCGUAGAUAUAGGAAGGAACACCAGUGGCGAAGGCGACCACCUGGACUGAUACUGACACUGAGGGGCGAAAGCGUGGUGAGCAAACAGGAUUAGAUACCCCUGUAGUC
Molecule: ribosomal RNA, 300 nt
Filed under: uncultured Sulfolobus sp.
Lineage: Archaea; Thermoproteati; Thermoproteota; Thermoprotei; Sulfolobales; Sulfolobaceae
Description: partial 16S ribosomal RNA
Rfam family: Bacterial small subunit ribosomal RNA
Source: RNAcentral